GAUGAACGCUGGCGGCGUGCCUAAUACAUGCCAGUCGAGCGAACAGACGAGGAGCUUGCUCCUCUGACGUUAGCGGCGGACGGGUGAGUAACACGUGGAUAACCUACUUAUAAGACUGGGAUAACUUCGGGAAACCGGAGCUAAUACCGGAUAACAUGUUGAACCGCAUGGUUCAACAGUGAAAGACGGUCUUGCUGUCACUUAUAGAUGGAUCCGCGCCGCAUUAGCUAGUUGGUAAGGUAACGGCUUACCAAGGCAACGAUGCGUAGCCGACCUGAGAGGGUGAUCGGCCACACUGGAACUGAGACACGGUCCAGACUCCUACGGGAGGCAGCAGUAGGGAAUCUUCCGCAAUGGGCGAAAGCCUGACGGAGCAACGCCGCGUGAGUGAAGAAGGUCUUCGGAUCGUAAAACUCUGUUAUUAGGGAAGAACAAAUGUGUAAGUAACUAUGCACGUCUUGACGGUACCUAAUCAGAAAGCCACGGCUAACUACGUG
This 497-nucleotide ribosomal RNA is filed under the name uncultured bacterium. RNAcentral's name for it is "partial 16S ribosomal RNA". It matches the Rfam family "Bacterial small subunit ribosomal RNA", at positions 28 to 507 of the family's 1533-position model. The record is from RNAcentral.